AAUGAACGCUGGCGGCAUGCCUUACACAUGCAAGUCGAACGGCAGCAUGACCUAGCUUGCUAGGUUGAUGGCGAGUGGCGAACGGGUGAGUAAUGCAUCGGAACGUGCCUCUUAGUGGGGGAUAACGUAGCGCAAGUUACGCUAAUACCGCAUAUUCUCUGAGGAGGAAAGCAGGUGACCUUCGGGCCUUGCGCUAGAAGAGCGGCCGAUGUCGGAUUAGCUAGUUGGUGAGGUAAAGGCUCACCAAGGCAACGAUCCGUAGCGGGUCUGAGAGGAUGAUCCGCCACACUGGAACUGAGACAAGGCCCAGACUCCUACGGGAGGCAGCAGUGGGGAAUUUUGGACAAUGGGCGCAAGCCUGAUCCAGCCAUGCCGCGUGAGUGAAGAUGGCCUUCGGGUUAUAAAGCUCUUUCGGCUGGGAAGAAAUCGCACCCUCUAAGACAGAGUGUGGAUGACGGUACCAGCAUAAGAAGCACCGGCUAACUACGUG
Molecule: ribosomal RNA, 490 nt
Filed under: uncultured bacterium
Lineage: Bacteria
Description: partial 16S ribosomal RNA
Rfam family: Bacterial small subunit ribosomal RNA
Source: RNAcentral